CACUUUUUAAUUUUAUAAUUCAUGCUUUCUGUGUCACAUCGAAGAAGUCUUUGCCUCACUCAUUGUUACAAAGAUUUUUUCCUAUAUUUUCUUCUGAAAAAUUUCCAGUUUUAGCACUUUUGUGCCUAUGAGCCAUUUUGAGUUAAUACUUAUAUAAGGUGUUGGGUAGAGGGUCAAAGUUAAUGUUUUCUUUUUUUUUGCAAGGAGAUGUUCCAUUAUUCUCAGGACCAUGUGUUGAAAUAAUCCAAGUUCUAAACUAACAUUAGAGACCUCUAUUGAGGGGCUUCAGGGGAUUCUAGAACCACUUGAAAUGGAAUGUAACAUUUUGUGUACACAUAUUAUUUGGGAAUAAGAGGGUAAAAGUGGACAUGAUCCACAUGAUUCACCAGAUUCUGAAAGGGGCUCCUGACCCCCAAAAGGUGAGAGUCACUGCUCUAAUGUCACUCAGCUGUCAUCUUUCUCACUAAACAAAAGCAGUCAAAAACAGAAUGAAAGAUGUCAAAGACUGUGAGCUGCUUUGGAGUUCCUGGGAAGAAAAUGACAUGAUCUGUUGGAAUGGUUGUUUGGGUCCUCUGCAAUGGGGAGCGGAAGGCGGAAGCCUCCUCUGUUUGCAACUUUGCUGUGUGAGCCUUCUAAAUGUAAGUCAGAUGUGUAUGGGGGAUAGACAGAGGGUGUUUAUCUGGGGAGGAUUUUCUCCAAAAGAUUAUCUCGUAUAGUAGAUGACAGACUUGGGUUAGAUGGUGGCUCUUUUCUACUCUUAAAUACUCUGACUCACUUAUUUGAAUAAUAAUUUCUCAGUUCAUUCCAUGUACCAGGCACCGUGUAAGGCAAAUAAAACAGUGAAUGGCAGGCA
This 853-nucleotide long non-coding RNA is filed under the name Felis catus (domestic cat). RNAcentral describes it as "lncRNA (ENSFCAG00000052072.1)". Lineage: Eukaryota; Metazoa; Chordata; Mammalia; Carnivora; Felidae. The record is from RNAcentral.